This 933-nucleotide non-coding RNA is filed under the name Trichomonas vaginalis G3. RNAcentral's name for it is "Eukaryotic small subunit ribosomal RNA". It matches the Rfam family "Eukaryotic small subunit ribosomal RNA", at positions 837 to 1831 of the family's 1831-position model. Lineage: Eukaryota; Parabasalia; Trichomonadida; Trichomonadidae. The record is from Rfam by way of RNAcentral.
UAUGAAGUCUUUGUUUUCUUCCGAAAACAAGCUCAAUGAGAGCCAUCGGGGGUAGAUCUAUCUCAUGACGAGUGGUGGAAUACUUUGACUCAUGAGAGAGAAGCUGAGGCGAAGGCGUCUACCUAGAGGGUUUCUGUCGAUCAAGGGCGAGAGUAGGAGUAUCCAACAGGAUUAGAGACCCUGGUAGUUCCUACCUUAAACGAUGCCGACAGGAGUUUGUCAUUUGUUAAUGGCAGAAUCUUUGGAGAAAUCAUAGUUCUUGGGCUCUGGGGGAACUACGACCGCAAGGCUGAAACUUGAAGGAAUUGACGGAAGGGCACACCAGGGGUGGAGCCUGUGGCUUAAUUUGAAUCAACACGGGGAAACUUACCAGGACCAGAUGUUUUUUAUGACUGACAGGCUUCGGGUCUUUCAGGAUAUUGUUUUUGGUGGUGCAUGGCCGUUGGUGGUGCGUGGGUUGACCUGUCUAGCGUUGAUUCAGCUAACGAGCGAGAUUAUCGCCAAUUAUUUACUUUGCCGAAGUCCUUCGGUUAAAGUUCUAAUUGGGACUCCCUGCGAUUUUAGCAGGUGGAAGAGGGUAGCAAUAACAGGUCCGUGAUGCCCUUUAGAUGCUCUGGGCUGCACGCGUGCUACAAUGUUAGGAUCAAUAGGACUGCGAGCCUGAGAGGGUGCGCUACUCUUAUAAUCCCUAACGUAGUUGGGAUUGACGUUUGUAAUCAGCGUCAUGAACCAGGAAUCCCUUGUAAAUGUGUGUCAACAACGCACGUUGAAUACGUCCCUGCCCUUUGUACACACCGCCCGUCGCUCCUACCGAUUGGAUGACUCGGUGAAAUCACCGGAUGCUUACGAGCAGAAAGUGAUUAAAUCACGUUAUCUAGAGGAAGGAGAAGUCGUAACAAGGUAACGGUAGGUGAACCUGCCGUUGGAUCAGUU